GCAUUGUAGAGCUUUUUAAUUCAACAUAUUUAUUAGUUUCAUCAUAUGAAUUACUUCAUCGUAGUGAAUUUCCGGAACUUCUCUCGUUUUUCUUUUGUUCAAUCGAUAGCAGAUGUGCGAACGGGUUCCCAUCUUCUUAUUCACGUAUAAACCUCAGAAAUACACCGAUUACGUACACCAAUUCCGAGAUUACACCAAUCAAUCACAAAAAAAAUUUACUCUGUGAUGGAAAAGAAGCUAGGCAGCCGCUAGGCUAUAUCAGCCAGAUGAUGUUCAAGCUGUUUUGUGGUGUUGUUCAAUGUGCAGGAAUUUGCGACCUCUCACGUUGAUGCGAAAGAAAACAUUAGAAGACCCUAUACGAUGUUGUUCUUCCAUUUGGUGACAGCAGCCCAAAAAUGACGCUGAUGGACAUGAACUAAAAAAAAAAAUGUAACGCAAGCAAAAGCACACGUACAUGUCCGUUAUGCUGGCGGGAGAAUUUUUACCUACCAAAACCAAUCACGAUUUGCCUACUGCCUAAUUCAUUGGAGCUCUUUAUGUUCCCAUAUUUGAUCGGUUAUUAUUGAGGUCGUUUCAUCGUCGCCGUUCGUCGCUCUGAAUAGGAAGAAAACGACAAAAGGUGGCAAAUAGAUACAAGUUCCCAUUACUAACCGCGUUUCGACGAAAAAGGCUCGACGUUUUGCUGCUGUUAUCAACGAAAUAAGAUGGUACUCCCUCCGACGAUUCGCUUCUCCACACUUUCACGUUUGCUGUUGUCUUGUGCCCUACUGAGUUUAGUCAUCAGUUCAUCUCCUCCUGCUGACGAUGGAAUUUUUCACAAAGGACUGAAGGAUUGCAAUUCGAGCCAUAUCUCAUGUGAAAGGAAAACGGCAGCUUGACCGGAAGAGUUAGUGUGUGACCAACUUAAGAUAAGGCAACAAAGGAAAGCAAUCGGGUCAAAGAGUUUAGACCUAGGACAUCUACUACACUGAAAUCUGCACGGGAAAAGAUGGCAUCAGAAUAUGCAAUUCUUCUCGCUCCAUCAGUGUGCUACCGCUGGACAUGCCUGUGGUUCCCACGACUUGUCAUUUGCGUAAAUCUUUUGUCUGGAUGACCGAAUCCGAAUCCCACAUGAACAACUCUCACGUAGCCGUGGACAGAUUCUACCGUAAUGUAACCCAGUGCGCCUGUCUCAUGUAGUUGGAUGGUACCAUAUGUUGCAGUAGCUGUUAAACUGGAUUCCCUCAUCAGAACAAGUCGCUAGGCAUAAAUGGUUUGGUUUACAUGUUGCAUCAGGAAUUUCAAUAUCCACGUUGAAAGGAUUUUUUGUUACAAGAAAAUUUAAUUCUGUGAGUUAAUCACCAUCAUUUCAUUCACCACAAAUAAAACUGCAAGUAUAGGCUAUUUUUCUUCAUCUUUAUUGGCACUGCUUACCGAAUCCAGUGGGAAGUGAACUCGAGCAUUCAGUGUCUGACACACCCAACCUGAACCACUGCUGAAGGCCUAAAUAUAUCACUGUUGAAGACAAAUUGUGGCCACUGGAUAUAUCGACGUUGGUUCCGGUGACUGCGGGAUCGUCAGCAAGCAGCCAAGGGUUCACCGGACAUAAAAAUAGAGUUUGAUAACUUUAAAAUCUUUUGACUCUGCUGAUACACAAGCCAACAAUCUUCUAUAACACGAGCCACAAGAUUAUUGGCUCGUCAUCGUUCUAUCUAUACAAACAAUUAAUCAGCACGAUAAAAUACUGCAUAUCACUAUAGCGAUGGCACAGGUAUGCUGUAACUCUUCAAUGGCCGAAGUUUAAAUUCAGCAUUCAACGGUUUGUUACAUAGAAACCCUAAAACUUUUGACAGGAUAAAUUUGUGUCAUCCACUGCUUCGUGAAAAUGUGUUUGAGUGAAACACUGUUCAAAUGUUGACUUUGUUUCCUUUAACUGAUAUUAGUUAUAGGUAUAAAUUGGAUAAUUAUAUAUUUUUAUUAUUUGCAGUGGUCAUAGAUUAUUUCUUACACUCCAUUUGACUCCAGAAUCGAUUUGAAUCAAAGCGCUACCGUUCCGACAUCGAUACUGUAUCGAGGCCGUUCUCUGCGGCAAUAAAUGUUCCAAAGUUGGAAACACAACUUUAAAUUUUUCUAACAUGACAUGUCUCGACUUAACUACAUGCAGCUAGCGUUAUUUUUGCAGCCCACGGGAUAGAUUGCCAUUACGUUGACGACUGGAGCGUCUUUCCAGGUCCUGUUUGCGACCUUUCGGUUUUGUUUAUUGUCAAUGUGAAUGGUCGUUUGAAGAUUUGCCAGGUUCCAGAGAUCUGCUAAAAGAGGGCUACCGUCUUUCUUUCGGUUUCAUCGGUUUCUUUUCAUCAAUCCAAUGAACAACACUGAAAUUCAGACUUCAAUGAAGAAUCUUGGCAGCAAUUCAGUCUAAACUGUGACAAAAUUAUAUUUUACACACAGACAUGGGAACAGUGGGAGACAACAAGAAGGUGCAGUCGGACAUGUGAAAGGAGUAAGAAUUGAACACGGGACAUUUGGAAUCAGCAAACAGUUGCCACAACCAUUACAUCAUUUUCAUUCUUCCAUUUUGGGCGAUCUAAGGACUCGAAACUAUUUUUAAAUGGAUACCUGUCUGCUUGUAUCACUUACGCCGGAGUCCCGUGUUCAAAUUCCUGGCGUAGGCUGUUGUAGAUUCCUUCAGACGUGUUGGUGUGGGAGAUUCGUUCAGGUGUGUAAGUAGGAAAAUUUGUUACAAAUUUUAAGCGUGUUUUUGGAAUUUUUGAGUAUUGAAACACUAGAUCUCACUGAAGGGCGUCAAUUGGUGUCUUAUUUGAUGGGAACUGCAUAGUUAAAGAACUAUCUGUCAAUCGCCCAAUUCCGAUUUGAGGAAUAAAAUUAUUUUGAAAAGUAGAAUUUCCGCUAACUCUAGACUUGAAUUCGAUAGAAAUGACUAUUGACAACAGCCUUUAUGAAGUGCGACGAAUUCCUAUAAAAUGAGAUAUUGAAUUUUCUUAAUUUUAAAGGGAGACGUUCUGGAGAAUAUUUU
Long non-coding RNA from Daphnia pulex (common water flea), 3016 nucleotides. RefSeq lists it as uncharacterized. The transcript has 13 exons. The record is from RefSeq and is a predicted model, not a curated record. Lineage: Eukaryota; Metazoa; Arthropoda; Branchiopoda; Diplostraca; Daphniidae.